UAGUCGUAGCUGUAGCUCGUGCCUGUCUAGUCGACGUAGCUAGGUAGAGAUAGGAGUGGGAAGGAGAGUAAUACAUGGGAGAGCGGCCAGGAAUGCGGGAAAAAUACUGGAAAGAUGGCUAAUAACGCAUGAUAUCUACUGAUGACAUGGUUGGUCUUCGGGCCUUUUGUACUAUGGCAUCUGAUGGCGGAUUAUCAACUUGUUGGUGUAAAAAUGUACUAACACUGCGACCAGUAGCUGGCCAGAUAAGACGACCAUCCGCCCUGGUGCUGAUACACCGCCCCCAAUACUCCGGCAGGAAGCAGUGGGGAAUUUUGUUGAAUGAUGGAAACCCUGAUGAUGCAAUGCCGCCUGCUGAAUGAAGACCCUCUUCUUGUUGACUGCUUUUUUCCCCAACGAAAAGCCUGGGGCUAAUAUCCCCGGGUCAUAACGGUACCGCAAGAAUAUGCCCCGGCUAACUACAAUACAUCAGCCGCGAGCGUUCUCCGGAAGUACUGGUUAUUCGGAAUUCCUGGGCGUAAAGCGUGGUCAGGCGUUUUUGUAAGACACUGGUGAAAUCCCCGGCCUCAACCUGGGAACUGCUUUUGUGACUGCAAGGAUACUGGUGCUUCAGAGUGUGAUGGAAUUCUGCGUGUAUAUCUUGAAAUGCACCGAUAUGCGGAGGAACAUCUAUGGUUAAUCACUGCCCCUGAGCCUGCACUGACGUCUUGCACGACGCUUGGUAGCAAACUUGAUUAUAUCCCCUGCUCGCCUACCCCGAGACGAUGUCAUCUCGUUGAUGGCUCGUAACUGACAACCAAAUAAGCCAACACCUGAUCCUGACCGUCAGUUGCCAAUACCUCCAGGCCGAAACUAAAAAAAUACUCACGUACCAGAUGAGAAAUUGCUCAU
This 891-nucleotide ribosomal RNA is filed under the name Comamonas sp. p6. Its description in RNAcentral is "bacterial SSU rRNA". It matches the Rfam family "Bacterial small subunit ribosomal RNA", at positions 48 to 873 of the family's 1533-position model. Lineage: Bacteria; Pseudomonadati; Pseudomonadota; Betaproteobacteria; Burkholderiales; Comamonadaceae. The record is from RNAcentral.